Molecule: transfer RNA, 71 nt
Filed under: Leiosporoceros dussii
Lineage: Eukaryota; Viridiplantae; Streptophyta; Leiosporocerotopsida; Leiosporocerotales; Leiosporocerotaceae
Description: tRNA-Arg
Source: RNAcentral
GCAAAUAUGGAUUCAAGAUUCAUUAUCUGCCUUCUAAACAGAGGAUAUGAGUUCGAUUUUCGUUAUCCGCA